Molecule: ribosomal RNA, 196 nt
Filed under: uncultured bacterium
Lineage: Bacteria
Description: partial 16S ribosomal RNA
Rfam family: Bacterial small subunit ribosomal RNA
Source: RNAcentral
UCCUACGGGAGGCAGCAGUGAGGAAUAUUGCGCAAUGGGGGCAACCCUGACGCAGCGACGCCGCGUGAGUGAGGGAGGCCUUCGGGUCGUAAAGCUCUGUCAGGAGGAGAGAAGUGCAUAGCGGUUAAUACCCGUUGUGUUUGACGGUACCUCUAAAGGAAGCACCGGCUAACUCCGUGCCAGCAGCCGCGGUAAU